This 500-nucleotide ribosomal RNA is filed under the name uncultured bacterium. RNAcentral's name for it is "partial 16S ribosomal RNA". It matches the Rfam family "Bacterial small subunit ribosomal RNA", at positions 29 to 523 of the family's 1533-position model. The record is from RNAcentral.
AACGAACGCUGGCGGAAUGCUUUACACAUGCAAGUCGAACGGCAGCACGGACUUCGGUCUGGUGGCAAGUGGCGAACGGGUGAGUAAUGUAUCGGAACGUGCCCAGCCGUGGGGGAUAACGUAGUGAAAAUUACGCUAAUACCGCAUACGAUCUAUGGAUGAAAGCGGGGGAUCGCAAGACCUCGCGCGAUUGGAGCGGCCGAUAUCAGAUUAGGUGGUUGGUGGGGUAAAGGCCCACCAAGCCAACGAUCUGUAGCUGGUCUGAGAGGACGACCAGCCUGACUAGAACUGAGACACGGUCCAGACUCCUGCGGGAGGCAGCAGUGGGGAAUUUUGGACAAUGGGCGAAAGCAUGAUCCAGCCAUUCCGCGUGCAGGAUGAAGGCCCUCGGGUUGUAAACUGCUUUUGUACAGAACGAAAAGGUUUCUACUAAUACUAGGAGCUCAUGACGGUACUGUAAGAAUAAGCACCGGCUAACUACGUGCCAGCCGCCGCGGUAA